CGUACACUCCUGCGGGAGGCAGCAGUGGGGAAUAUUGCACAAUGGGCGCAAGCCUGAUGCAGCCAUGCCGCGGGUAUGAAGAAGGCCUUCGGGUUGUAAAGUACUUUCAGCGGGGAGGAAGGCAAUACGGUUAAUAACCGUGUUGAUUGACGUUACCCGCAGAAGAAGCACCGGCUAACUCCGUGCCAGCAGCCGCGGUAAUACGGAGGGUGCAAGCGUUAAUCGGAAUUACUGGGCGUAAAGCGCACGCAGGCGGUCUGUCAAGUCGGAUGUGAAAUCCCCGGGCUCAACCUGGGAACUGCAUUCGAAACUGGCAGGCUUGAGUCUUGUAGAGGGGGGUAGAAUUCCAGGUGUAGCGGUGAAAUGCGUAGAGAUCUGGAGGAAUACCGGUGGCGAAGGCGGCCCCCUGGACAAAGACUGACGCUCAGGUGCGAAAGCGUGGGGAGCAAACAGGAUUAGAUACCCGGGUAGUCCCAUGA
RNAcentral lists this ribosomal RNA (479 nucleotides) under uncultured organism. Its description in RNAcentral is "partial 16S ribosomal RNA". It matches the Rfam family "Bacterial small subunit ribosomal RNA", at positions 330 to 800 of the family's 1533-position model. The record is from RNAcentral.